AGAGAGUUUCUCUUUUAGUUUUAACUCUUCAUCUUCUCUAAUAGUUUUCAUCUUUCUUUUUUUGGCCGCUUAAGUUGGAUUUACCCUACUCCUUCUGAGCAGGGGAGACCUUCGUCUUCUUACUAUUCGGAGAAUGAGUUUUCCUUCCCACCUCCAGGCUCUCAGAUCGAUGGUUCUCCGGCGAUCCUCGUCCGACGACAGUUUAUGGAGGUAGCUCGUGGAGUUUAAUUCUUGGAAGGCGCAGUGGGGUUAUUUAAGAGCGGGCCUUCUUCACUUUAGCCGACUCUUUUUCGAUCUGAAAAGAAGCCUCUCUUGAACCUGAUUUUACCGGUUGAAGUUGAGCUUUCCACAUUUGUUUUGGAUGCUUCAUUUUUUUUUUUGGAGGAGGAAAAUAUCCCUUCACCGGUCACCUUCCCUUUUAGUCAUUGGCCCUUGCAUCAAAAGCUUUUUCAGUUCUCCUUGAGUUUCAGUUUGCAUAUUUUUGCCUUUGUUUUAGCUUCAAUAGCAAGAGAUUGCUUCCAACGUGUUUGGUGGUUAUGGAAGACCGAUGCUCGGAGGAAGGAAAGGUCGACUUCUGCAAGCUCUUAUCCGUCGGGUCGGGUUUAUGGGUCAAGUCUAUAUAUAUAAAUAGAAAAGAGUAGAAAAUAAAAUUUUCAAAUUCAAAUUCUAAAAUUUUACGGACAUAAUAAUAUAUUUAUAUAUACGACAAAUUACCCAACUACUCCAUUUAUAUAAAGUUUGUAUAUUAUUAAUGCCUACUAAACCUUUAAAAAAAAAUUGUAUACCAAACAUUGUCCUUUAGUUAUUAUUUGCAUUAUGUAUUUAUUGUGGUACCGUCUACGUGAUCCACCA
Manihot esculenta (cassava) is the source of this 852-nucleotide long non-coding RNA. RefSeq lists it as uncharacterized. The record is from RefSeq and is a predicted model, not a curated record. Lineage: Eukaryota; Viridiplantae; Streptophyta; Magnoliopsida; Malpighiales; Euphorbiaceae. The transcript has 2 exons.